This is a long non-coding RNA of Ornithodoros turicata, 740 nucleotides long. RefSeq lists it as uncharacterized. Lineage: Eukaryota; Metazoa; Arthropoda; Arachnida; Ixodida; Argasidae. The record is from RefSeq and is a predicted model, not a curated record. The transcript is spliced from 3 exons.
CCCGCUGUCCAAAACGCGAGCCAGUGUUGGAAGCAUCACGAGUCGUGUGGGUGUCUUGCUCCUCCCAUGCAAUCGGCUGCCACGUGGUGGAUGUGAUUGAACCAUGUGCCGCAUGAGCUGUUGUAACGUCAGUGCUGGAGUACCUCACAAGAAUCGGUCGUGGACCGAAAUUGGUAAAGGGCUGAGAAAGAUGGCCGACCUGUUUGAAGUGUCCCACAGUCCAACAAAGACAAUGCAAGCGACCUGUAAUUCCACGAGAAGUCUGUGCACAUGGGUUGUAUCCUGUCUCUUAUGGACAUCUCUUCCGUUGGAGAGGGCCGAUACGGAAACCGCCUUGUUUGAACAUGCGCUCACCGUGGUGAAACGUUCUCGAGGGAGAUGAGCACCAACAAAAACUGAUUGUUGGAGAUCAAGGACAGUGAUGCACAGGAGAGGAACUGAACAAGUGAACUGCCAGCAUCUACGUGCUGAACGUCUGCCGAAGCGUUCCCCAUUUGCGAUCGUCAUUUUAGAUGGGUUCCUGGACAAAGAGUGCAUUCUACAUCUUUCGUUACACGCUGAAUCCACCGAAUAGUGUAAUUACAUGUGCUGUUCAUGACGUCUAAGACUCGUGUGAAUACACGCACUCCUGAUGCCAUUGGUUUGCCGGUGACAUGCUCAGCUGCGAAGAGAUUUUGUAACGUCUAUUGUACAGUGUAAUAUUGCAUACCGCGUGCUACCAAAAUAAAGCCUACAAAACG